GCGGGUAUAGUACAAUGGUAAUACACCUGGUUGCCAAUCAGGUUACGCGGGUUCGAUUCCCGCUACCCGCUCCA
RNAcentral lists this transfer RNA (74 nucleotides) under Candidatus Woesebacteria bacterium CG_4_10_14_0_2_um_filter_39_14. Its description in RNAcentral is "tRNA-Gly". It matches the Rfam family "tRNA". From Rfam's summary of the family: Transfer RNA (tRNA) molecules are approximately 80 nucleotides in length. Their secondary structure includes four short double-helical elements and three loops (D, anti-codon, and T loops). RNAcentral also lists the same sequence under 1 other name. Lineage: Bacteria; Candidatus Woeseibacteriota. The record is from RNAcentral.